This is an unclassified non-coding RNA of Cavia aperea (Brazilian guinea pig), 97 nucleotides long. It matches the Rfam family "Y RNA". Rfam says of the family: Y RNAs are components of the Ro ribonucleoprotein particle (Ro RNP), in association with Ro60 and La proteins. The record is from Ensembl. NCBI's taxonomy places the organism in Eukaryota, Metazoa, Chordata, Mammalia, Rodentia, Caviidae.
UGCUGGUCUGAUGGCAGUGGGUUAGCAGAACUUAUUAACAUUAGUGUCACUAAAGGUGGUAUACCACCCCCCAACUGUUAAAUUUGAUUGGCUUUAA